GGCGGCGUGCCUAAUACAUGCAAGUCGAGCGGUAAGGCCCUUCGGGGUACACGAGCGGCGGACGGCUGAGUAACGCGUGGGAACGUGCCCCAAAGUGAGGGAUAACCUCGAGAAAUCAAGGCUAAUACCGCAUAUGGUCUUCGGAUUAAAGGAUUUAUCCGCUUUGGGAGCGGCCCGCGUACGAUUAGUUUGUUGGUGAGGUAAUGGCUCACCAAGACUACGAUCGUUAACUGGUCUGAGAGGAUGAUCAGUCAGACUGGAACUGAGACACGGUCCAGACUCCUACGGGAGGCAGCAGUAAGGAAUCUUCCACAAUGGGCGAAAGCCUGAUGGAGCAACGCCGCGUGCAGGAUGAAGGCCCUCGGGUCGUAAACUGCUUUUAUGAGUGAAGAAUAUGACGGUAACUCAUGAAUAAGCACCGGCUAACUACGUG
This 433-nucleotide ribosomal RNA is filed under the name uncultured bacterium. Its description in RNAcentral is "bacterial SSU rRNA". It matches the Rfam family "Bacterial small subunit ribosomal RNA", at positions 38 to 507 of the family's 1533-position model. The record is from RNAcentral.